UACGAAGGGGGCUAGCGUUGCUCGGAAUCACUGGGCGUAAAGGGUGCGUAGGCGGGUCUUUUAAGUCAGGGGUGAAAUCCUGGAGCUCAACUCCAGAACUGCCUUUGAUACUGAGGAUCUUGAGUUCGGGAGAGGUGAGUGGAACUGCGAGUGUAGAGGUGAAAUUCGUAGAUAUUCGCAAGAACACCAGUGGCGAAGGCGGCUCACUGGCCCGGUACUGACGCUGAGGAGCGAAAGCAUGGGGAGCGAACAGG
This 254-nucleotide ribosomal RNA is filed under the name uncultured bacterium. Its description in RNAcentral is "partial 16S ribosomal RNA". It matches the Rfam family "Bacterial small subunit ribosomal RNA", at positions 524 to 776 of the family's 1533-position model. The record is from RNAcentral.